UACCGGGCGAUGCGGCGAGGAGGCAUCUUCUUGCCGUGAAAUGAAUUUCGCCUCGGGAGGGGCUCACGUAGUAUUAGCUUGUUGGUGAGGUAACGGCUCACCAAGGCCAAGAUGCUUAGCGGGUGUGAGAGCACGACCCGCGCCACUGGCACUGAGACACUGGCCAGACUCCUACGGGAGGCUGCAGUCGAGGAUCUUCGGCAAUGGGCGCAAGCCUGACCGAGCGACGCCGCGUGUGCGAUGAAGGCCUUCGGGUUGUAAAGCACUGUCGAGGGGGAGGAAGCUCCGCAAGGGGUUGACCUAUCCCUGGAGGAAGCACGGGCUAAGUUCGUGCCAGCAGCCGCGGUAAGACGAACCGUGCGAACGUUGUUCGGAUUCACUGGGCUUAAAGGGCGCGUAGGCGGGCGGUCAAGUCGGGGGUGAAAUCUUUCAGCUUAACUGGAAAAGUGCCUCCGAUACUGAUUGUCUU
This 469-nucleotide ribosomal RNA is filed under the name uncultured Planctomycetota bacterium. RNAcentral's name for it is "bacterial SSU rRNA". It matches the Rfam family "Bacterial small subunit ribosomal RNA", at positions 167 to 643 of the family's 1533-position model. Lineage: Bacteria; Pseudomonadati; Planctomycetota. The record is from RNAcentral.